ACCUUAGAAGCAAAGAUGGUUAAUGUGCUUGCCUGUUAACCAAAAGGUUAGAGGUUUGAGUCCUUUCAGAGGUG
RNAcentral lists this transfer RNA (74 nucleotides) under Loxodonta africana (African savanna elephant). It matches the Rfam family "tRNA". From Rfam's summary of the family: Transfer RNA (tRNA) molecules are approximately 80 nucleotides in length. Their secondary structure includes four short double-helical elements and three loops (D, anti-codon, and T loops). Lineage: Eukaryota; Metazoa; Chordata; Mammalia; Proboscidea; Elephantidae. The record is from Rfam by way of RNAcentral.